This 76-nucleotide transfer RNA is filed under the name Puniceicoccales bacterium. RNAcentral describes it as "tRNA-Arg". It matches the Rfam family "tRNA". Rfam says of the family: Transfer RNA (tRNA) molecules are approximately 80 nucleotides in length. Lineage: Bacteria; Pseudomonadati; Verrucomicrobiota; Opitutia; Puniceicoccales. The record is from RNAcentral.
GGGGGAGUAGCUCAGUGGAUAGAGCAACUGCCUUCUAAGCAGUCGGUCGCGGGUUCGACUCCCGCCUUCCCCGCCA